GAUGAAGAACGUAGUGAAAUGCGAUAAGUAAUGUGAAUUGCAGAAUUCAGUGAAUCAUCGAAUCUUUGAACGCACAUUGCGCCCGCCAGUAUUCUGGCGGGCAUGCCUGUCCGAGCGUCAUUUCAACCAUCAAGCCCCGGGCUUGUGUUGGGGACCUGCGUCCGACGCAGGCCCUGAAAACCAGUGGCGGGCUCGCUGUCCACACCGAGCGUAGUAACUAACCUCGCUAUGGAGUGGCGCGGGCGCCUGCCGUAAAACCCCCAAUUUUUACAAGGUUGACCUCGGAUCAGGUAGGAAUACCCGCUGAACUUAAGCAUAUCAAUAAGCGGAGGA
Molecule: unclassified non-coding RNA, 333 nt
Filed under: soil metagenome
Description: partial contains 5.8S ribosomal RNA, internal transcribed spacer 2, and large subunit ribosomal RNA
Rfam family: 5.8S ribosomal RNA (bases 1-120)
Source: RNAcentral